Molecule: ribosomal RNA, 1346 nt
Filed under: uncultured bacterium
Lineage: Bacteria
Description: bacterial SSU rRNA
Rfam family: Bacterial small subunit ribosomal RNA
Source: RNAcentral
GACGAACGCUGGCGGCGUGCUUAACACAUGCAAGUCGAACGGAAAGGCCCUGCUUUUGUGGGGUGCUCGAGUGGCGAACGGGUGAGUAACACGUGAGUAACCUGCCCUUGACUUUGGGAUAACUUCAGGAAACUGGGGCUAAUACCGGAUAGGAGCUCCUGCUGCAUGGUGGGGGUUGGAAAGUUUCGGCGGUUGGGGAUGGACUCGCGGCUUAUCAGCUUGUUGGUGGGGUAGUGGCUUACCAAGGCUUUGACGGGUAGCCGGCCUGAGAGGGUGACCGGCCACAUUGGGACUGAGAUACGGCCCAGACUCCUACGGGAGGCAGCAGUGGGGAAUAUUGCACAAUGGGCGGAAGCCUGAUGCAGCAACGCCGCGUGCGGGAUGACGGCCUUCGGGUUGUAAACCGCUUUCGCCUGUGACGAAGCGUGAGUGACGGUAAUGGGUAAAGAAGCACCGGCUAACUACGUGCCAGCAGCCGCGGUGAUACGUAGGGUGCGAGCGUUGUCCGGAUUUAUUGGGCGUAAAGGGCUCGUAGGUGGUUGAUCGCGUCGGAAGUGUAAUCUUGGGGCUUAACCCUGAGCGUGCUUUCGAUACGGGUUGACUUGAGGAAGGUAGGGGAGAAUGGAAUUCCAGGUGGAGCGGUGGAAUGCGCAGAUAUCAGGAGGAACACCAGUGGCGAAGGCGGUUCUCUGGGCCUUUCCUGACGCUGAGGAGCGAAAGCGUGGGGAGCGAACAGGCUUAGAUACCCUGGUAGUCCACGCUGUAAACGGUGGGUACUAGGUGUGGGGUCCAUUCCACGGGUUCCGUGCCGUAGCUAACGCUUUAAGUACCCCGCCUGGGGAGUACGGCCGCAAGGCUAAAACUCAAAGGAAUUGACGGGGCCCCGCACAAGCGGCGGAGCAUGCGGAUUAAUUCGAUGCAACGCGUAGAACCUUACCUGGGUUUGACAUGGAUCGGGAGCGCUCAGAGAUGGGUGUGCCUCUUUUGGGGUCGGUUCACAGGUGGUGCAUGGCUGUCGUCAGCUCGUGUCGUGAGAUGUUGGGUUAAGUCCCGCAACGAGCGCAACCCUUGUUCACUGUUGCCAGCACGUUAUGGUGGGGACUCAGUGGAGACCGCCGGGGUCAACUCGGAGGAAGGUGGGGAUGACGUCAAGUCAUCAUGCCCCUUAUGUCCAGGGCUUCACGCAUGCUACAAUGGCUGGUACAGAGAGUGGCGAGCCUGUGAGGGUGAGCGAAUCUCGGAAAGCCGGUCUCAGUUCGGAUUGGGGUCUGCAACUCGACCUCAUGAAGUCGGAGUCGCUAGUAAUCGCAGAUCAGCAACGCUGCGGUGAAUACGUUCCCGGGGCU